This 22-nucleotide non-coding RNA is filed under the name Rattus norvegicus (Norway rat). Its record names the gene rno-miR-742-3p. Lineage: Eukaryota; Metazoa; Chordata; Mammalia; Rodentia; Muridae. The record is from miRBase by way of RNAcentral.
GAAAGCCACCAUGUUGGGUAAA